Molecule: unclassified non-coding RNA, 293 nt
Filed under: fungal sp.
Lineage: Eukaryota; Fungi
Description: partial internal transcribed spacer region
Rfam family: Eukaryotic small subunit ribosomal RNA (bases 1-46)
Source: RNAcentral
AAGUCGUAACAAGGUUUCCGUAGGUGAACCUGCGGAAGGAUCAUUAAUGAAUGAUAAUUUUUUGGGGUUUUCCCUGAAAAAUAAUUCACCAUUUGUGCAUUGUUAUAAGAUAUACUUUGGUUAGAGCUUUGAUUUCAUUUAUUGGAAUCAACUUCUUGCUGACUCUAUCCUAUUGAAUGGGACAGUUGGCUAUGAAGCGGCCUACCAAGGUUUUUUAUCAAACACAUUUAAUCCAACUGACCUAAAAACAAACAAUUAAAUCAUAACUUUCAACAACGGAUCUCUUGGCUCUC